Molecule: unclassified non-coding RNA, 422 nt
Filed under: uncultured Pseudoalteromonas sp.
Lineage: Bacteria; Pseudomonadati; Pseudomonadota; Gammaproteobacteria; Alteromonadales; Pseudoalteromonadaceae
Description: partial 16S-23S ribosomal RNA intergenic spacer
Rfam family: Bacterial large subunit ribosomal RNA (bases 300-422)
Source: RNAcentral
CCUCCUUAUACGAUUUAGAACUUAUUUGUUCGUAGUGUCCACACAGAUGAUUGUUAGUUAGUAAUGCUCUUUGAGUUUACUAACUAAUAUGCUCUUUAAAAAUUUGGAAAAGCUGAUAAUAAAAUUCGUAUGAAUAACAGUGUUAUUUGUACAGAGUUUUCAAAAGUAAAAAAGAAUGAUAGCAGUAUCAUUCAGUGCCAAUUUAAUCAUUUAUGAUUAAUUGGUAUCUACUUUAGUAUUCAAUAUUAACUUCUGGCGAAGUUAAACUGUCACAUAACAAAGACCCGUUUGGGUUGUAUGGUUAAGUGGCUAAGCGUACACGGUGGAUGCCUUGGCAGUUGGAGGCGAUGAAGGACGUAUUAACUUGCGAUAAGCCUAGUCAAGCUAGUAAAAAGCGCUUGAGACUAGGAUUUCCGAAUGGA